GCCCCGAUGGCGAAAUUGGUAUACGCAAGGGACUUAAAAUCCCUCGUCCGACAAGGACUUACCGGUUCGAGACCGGUUCGGGGCACCA
RNAcentral lists this transfer RNA (88 nucleotides) under Variovorax sp. PMC12. Its description in RNAcentral is "tRNA-Leu". It matches the Rfam family "tRNA". Rfam says of the family: Transfer RNA (tRNA) molecules are approximately 80 nucleotides in length. Their secondary structure includes four short double-helical elements and three loops (D, anti-codon, and T loops). Further hydrogen bonds mediate the characteristic L-shaped molecular structure. tRNAs have two regions of fundamental functional importance: the anti-codon, which is responsible for specific mRNA codon recognition, and the 3' end, to which the tRNAs corresponding amino acid is attached (by aminoacyl-tRNA synthetases). tRNAs cope with the degeneracy of the genetic code in two manners: having more than one tRNA (with a specific anti-codon) for a particular amino acid; and 'wobble' base-pairing, i.e. permitting non-standard base-pairing at the 3rd anti-codon position. RNAcentral also lists the same sequence under 1 other name. The record is from RNAcentral. Lineage: Bacteria; Pseudomonadati; Pseudomonadota; Betaproteobacteria; Burkholderiales; Comamonadaceae.